RNAcentral lists this unclassified non-coding RNA (183 nucleotides) under uncultured Diaporthales. RNAcentral's name for it is "sequence contains ITS2". The record is from RNAcentral. Lineage: Eukaryota; Fungi; Ascomycota; Sordariomycetes; Diaporthales.
CAACCCUCAAGCUUUGUUGCUUGGUGUUGGGGCGUAGCCUGUAAAACGGCUAGCCCUGAAAUCCCAGUGGCGUGCUCGCUAAGCCUCCAUGCGUGUUAAUUUAAAUUUCUUUAAAAUCGCUUUGGUUGGAGUGGCGGUGCCCAGCCGUAAAACCCUCUGUUCCUCGGAGCAGUGCUUUCUGAA